GUGACGCCUAAAUAACACAUGGUGUGUAACUCUUGGACCAAGUACGCAAUCGGUGUGAGUCAGCUGAUUCUGAAGUGCAGAGAAGCGGCUUUGUGCCAUUUUAAAACACUUGGAGCUGACAGGCAGCACUUUUGUCAAGUGUUGUCUUCUUCAUUCAGGACUCACCCAGGUCUGCGGCCGUGUAUCGUAGUCCUCUGAAGCGUACGGCGUUGUCGUCAUAAACCGGUUUCCGAAGGUUUCUGCGUUCGCACAGUCGAGCCAGCAGCUGUCUGGGUGUCAGCUGGUCCCGCCACUGGUUAACCCCAGAUCUGACAGACAACAAGAGGAAAAAACAACAUCAGAACAUCACCCACCGACACAAAAACGGACACUGCUGGGUAUGUGUGGCCACUUACACACAGUAGGACCGCGGGAGGCCGCACGUGGCUCCGUACUUAGACAGGAGGCGGUUUUCCAGGUCAAUGACGGUCUCUCCAAUCUUCUCGUCUUUGCUCAAAAGGUCGUGGUCGUACAGCGUGACGCGAAGGUCCUUCUCCAGAGGGAGAGAACAGCUGAGCUCAAACAUCCUGAAGGAAAAGCCGUCAGGAGCACAGCUGUGAAAACUGAAGGGAAACUCUGGUGGAUCAUUCAGAGCAGCCUGCAGUCAGACUCUGCCCUUGGCCCCUGAACUCCCAUUGGUUUGCGUGCAGUGACCCCUACUGGCAGGAAACCAGGAGACGAGGUGCAGAACUUUGAAAGAGCUCAGUAGAAACCCGUCAAGAGCCUGCCGCUAACAGCACAGGUAUUUCAAAUUCUGUCGUUGGAAGGGACAAACAUUCCCCGGAUGAAAAUGAAAAUGACAGCAGUUGGUCAUCAAAAACCUACUAUAUCUGCAAAGAUACUUUUAAAAAAGUAUUUUUUUAUUCAUUAUGUUCUAGCUGGUUUAACCAGCAGAUAUAAGAACCUGAGGAUUGUCUUGUUUAUCACUGAUCAAUACCCAAAAGUGUAUUUAGGAGCUUCAUGCUGUUUAGCCCAAAGAAAUGAAGAAUAAAGUUGUUAAAGUUCAUCAUCAAAGGACCAAAAAGUCAAAGACGUUUCAAACAAAUAAACACUAUUGGAAAUUUGACUCUAAUCAUGUGUUAGGUUUUAGACCAAAUGAACAAAACUUUAUCUUUUUUUUCUUUUCUUUAUCUUUGUUUUCAUCUCUUUGAUCUCCCAGAUUUUAGUCUUUUUACCGGAGUCUACAAACAUCUCAAAGGCCUUUCUACACCUCGUUCUUUCUUCAAAGGACAGCAGACGGAUCUCUUCUGUAUGACCAGGCUAUGCCAUUAUGCCUCCUCCUGGUUAUAUCGUAUAUACCGCACUACAGGGUGCACCUGUUUUUAAAGGCACACCAUCAAUGAAUGCUCAAUUGUCAAGCGCAUGGCGCACCAAACUGUAAGGAGCAUUAAGUGAGACAAAAGAGUCAGCGGUGAGUCCAUCAGUCAGAUUACUCCUGUUGUUUUUUGAAAAAAAAUGAAGGCUCUAAAGUGCACCUUUCUAUUAUUGUUGUGUUCUUGAGUAUAAAAAACAAGGGUCCAAGUGUGUAGUUGCAUGAACGUUGUAUUUGAACUUGGCUAAAAAACGUGUUUUACAUCGCUCUCAGUGCACGUCUUGGUGUCCGUGUCUGACAGUCAACGGUCACUGCACACGGCACGUGCCGCGCGGUUGCUGUGAUGUCAUUAACGUGCGACUUUGAAGUUCUUCACACAACCCAAAAAAGCCUCAACGCACCAACUAUUAGGUGUUCUUUACCAUCUA
Oryzias sinensis (Chinese medaka) is the source of this 1779-nucleotide long non-coding RNA. Lineage: Eukaryota; Metazoa; Chordata; Actinopteri; Beloniformes; Adrianichthyidae. The record is from Ensembl.